CAAUGCUCAACGACUCGUUUCAGGGGAAUUAUUAAGUUUACCCACAAAACCAGUACAAAUAACUCAGCGCUGACCUGCCGGAUGGCUUUGGAAGGGCAACCUCCCAGAGGGACGGCGUUGGGAGCUUAAUUAGAAUGUCAGGAGACACUUUCAAAGAAGUGUGAGAUGAGAGUCCACUCCAAUGGGAAACCUGAGCCGAUCGUCUUUCCCAGUUCAAGGAAAACUGUUGAAUGGGAUCAGACACAAGGAAUCACACCUUCUGCGGCGGCUGGUAGCAUCUCUGUAAGGUCAAGUCGUUGGUGACGGCCUCCCUGAAGCGGCAGCUGCUUGGUAUAAGGUUACGAUUUCACCUGCGCGCUGCAGUAAUGCAGGAACAGGCAAAGACAGGAAGCAGUGAAGAGCAGAGGAUGUGUUUUUGGUGAGCACUUCAUCUGUGUAUCUCAG
This is a long non-coding RNA of Cyprinus carpio carpio, 444 nucleotides long. NCBI's taxonomy places the organism in Eukaryota, Metazoa, Chordata, Actinopteri, Cypriniformes, Cyprinidae. The record is from Ensembl.